GCAGUCGAGCGAGACCUUCGGGUCUAGCGGCGGACGGGUGAGUAACGCGUGGGAACGUGCCCUUUGCUACGGAAUAGUCCCGGGAAACUGGGUUUAAUACCGUAUGUGCCCUUCGGGGGAAAGAUUUAUCGGCAAAGGAUCGGCCCGCGUUGGAUUAGGUAGUUGGUGGGGUAAUGGCCUACCAAGCCGACGAUCCAUAGCUGGUUUGAGAGGAUGAUCAGCCACACUGGGACUGAGACACGGCCCAGACUCCUACGGGAGGCAGCAGUGGGGAAUCUUAGACAAUGGGGGCAACCCUGAUCUAGCCAUGCCGCGUGAGUGAUGAAGGCCUUAGGGUUGUAAAGCUCUUUCAGCUGGGAAGAUAAUGACGGUACCAGCAGAAGAAGCCCCGGCUAACUCCGUGCCAGCAGCCGCGGUAAUACGGAGGGGGCUAGCGUUGUUCGGAAUUACUGGGCGUAAAGCGCACGUAGGCGGACUGGAAAGUUGGGGGUGAAAUCCCGG
RNAcentral lists this ribosomal RNA (501 nucleotides) under uncultured bacterium. Its description in RNAcentral is "bacterial SSU rRNA". It matches the Rfam family "Bacterial small subunit ribosomal RNA", at positions 57 to 605 of the family's 1533-position model. The record is from RNAcentral.